This 502-nucleotide ribosomal RNA is filed under the name uncultured bacterium. RNAcentral describes it as "bacterial SSU rRNA". It matches the Rfam family "Bacterial small subunit ribosomal RNA", at positions 32 to 507 of the family's 1533-position model. The record is from RNAcentral.
CAACGCUGGCGGCGUGCCAACUUACAUGCAAGUCGUACGAGAAAGUUGGCUUCGGCUGAUGAGUAAAGUGGCGCACGGGUGAGUAACGCGUGGAUAAUCUGCCUUUUAGUUGGGAAUAACGUACCGAAAGGUGCGCUAAUACCGGAUAAUACUGCAUAACUACUGUUGUGUAGUCAAAGAAGGGCCUCUGUUUACAAGCUUUUGCUGAAAGAUGAGUCCGCGUACCAUUAGCUAGUUGGUAGGGUAAUGGCCUACCAAGGCUACGAUGGUUAGCUGGUCUGAGAGGAUGAUCAGCCACACUGGAACUGAGACACGGUCCAGACUCCUACGGGAGGCAGCAGUGAGGAAUAUUGCGCAAUGGGGGCAACCCUGACGCAGCAACGCCGCGUGAGUGAGGAAGGUUUUCGGACCGUAAAGCUCUGUCGAGCGGGAAGAAAUGUAUCGUGGCUAAUAUCCAUGAUAUUUGACGGUACCGCUAAAGGAAGCACCGGCUAACUCCGUG